CCUACGGGCGGCUGCAGUGAGGAAUAUUGGUCAAUGGGCGUAAGCCUGAACCAGCCAAGUCGCGUGAGGGAUGAAGGUUCUAUGGAUCGUAAACCUCUUUUAUAAGGGAAUAAAGUGUGGGACGUGUCCUAUGUUGUAUGUACCUUAUGAAUAAGGAUCGGCUAACUCCGUGCCAGCAGCCGCGGUAAUACGGAGGAUCCGAGCGUUAUCCGGAUUUAUUGGGUUUAAAGGGUGCGUAGGCGGCCUUUUAAGUCAGCGGUGAAAGUCUGUGGCUCAACCAUAGAAUUGCAGUUGAAACUGGGGGGCUUGAGUAUGUUGAGGGCAGGCGGAAUGCGUGGUGUAGCGGUGAAAUGCUUAGAUAUCACGCAGAACCCCGAUUGCGAAGGCAGGCUGCCAAGCCGUGACUGACGCUGAUGCACGAAAGCGUGGGGAUCAAACAGGAUUAGAUACCCUGGUAGUC
RNAcentral lists this ribosomal RNA (460 nucleotides) under uncultured bacterium. RNAcentral describes it as "partial 16S ribosomal RNA". It matches the Rfam family "Bacterial small subunit ribosomal RNA", at positions 338 to 795 of the family's 1533-position model. The record is from RNAcentral.